UUUGACCAAUAAGACCGCUUCCUUCAUUCUCAGCCAUCAAAUAUAGAGAUAUCACUUAAUACCUCUCAUAAUACAUUUCAUGUUUAAUGACGCAUGUUCGGUGGCGUAACUUUGGAAGAUCCCAAACGUGAUUUUGGAUGGAUUUAAUACUUAAUCUCUGCAGAGGAUUGCACACCAUCCUGCAUCCACAGCCAAAGCCGGUGACGAAACAGUAUGAUGAUGUGGGUCAUGAUGCUCAGAGCGCACUUCACUGGACAUCUGUGGGAGAUGCUGGGCAGGAACUUGGCAUGGGUUGACUGUCUUUCUUCGGCUGUGUUUGUGCAUGCAUGGACUGGACGCCUGAGUGAAAAACCUAAACACUGAAAAAUCUCUGGGAAGGGAACAGCUCAUACUCCACCACAGAAACCCCUGCACCAGUUAACACGUGCAUGACUCCAAGUGACGAAACGUUUCUCCCACUGAAAACGCUACGUCCAGAUGAA
Long non-coding RNA from Oreochromis niloticus (Nile tilapia), 482 nucleotides. RefSeq lists it as uncharacterized. The record is from RefSeq and is a predicted model, not a curated record. Lineage: Eukaryota; Metazoa; Chordata; Actinopteri; Cichliformes; Cichlidae. The transcript is spliced from 4 exons.